UACGGAGGGUGCAAACGUUGCUCGGAAUCAUUGGGCGUAAAGCGCACGUAGGCGGCUCAGCAAGUUGGACGUGAAAGCCCAGGGCUCAACCCUGGAAGUGCAUCCAAAACUGCUGAGCUUGAGUCCCGGAGGGGCCCAGAGAAUUCCUGGUGUAGAGGUGAAAUUCGUAGAUAUCAGGAGGAAUACCAGUGGCGAAGGCGCUGGGCUGGACGGGUACUGACGCUGAGGUGCGAAAGCGUGGGGAGCAAACAGG
Molecule: ribosomal RNA, 253 nt
Filed under: uncultured bacterium
Lineage: Bacteria
Description: partial 16S ribosomal RNA
Rfam family: Bacterial small subunit ribosomal RNA
Source: RNAcentral